Molecule: ribosomal RNA, 318 nt
Filed under: Verrucomicrobia bacterium SCGC AAA170-G07
Lineage: Bacteria; Pseudomonadati; Verrucomicrobiota
Description: bacterial SSU rRNA
Rfam family: Bacterial small subunit ribosomal RNA
Source: RNAcentral
GGUGUCACUUCUGGAUGGGCUCGCGGCCUAUCAGUUAGUUGGUGAGGUAACGGCUCACCAAGGCAAUGACGGGUAGCUGGUCUGAGAGGACGACCAGUCACACUGGAACUGAGACACGGUCCAGACACCUACGGGUGGCAGCAGUCGAGAAUCAUUCGCAAUGGGGGAAACCCUGACGGUGCGACGCCGCGUGGAGGAUGACGGUCUUCGGAUUGUAAACUCCUGUCAUCGAAGAGUAAGGCUUAUGUAUUAAUAGUAUGUAAGAUUGAUAGUAUUCGAAGAGGAAGGGACGGCUAACUUCGUGCCAGCAGCCGCGGU